GACGAACGCUGGCGGCGUGCUUAACACAUGCAAGUCGAACGGGUCUGCCUUGUUUUUUGCGGGGUGGGUCAGUGGCGAACGGGUGAGUAACACGUGAGUAACCUGCCCCUCACUUCUGGAUAACCGCUUGAAAGGGUGGCUAAUACGGGGUGUUCUGGCUGUGCCGCAUGGUGUGGCUGGGAAAGAUUCACUUUUGUGGUGUUUUGGUGGGGGAUGGGCUCGCGGCCUAUCAGCUUGUUGGUGGGGUGAUGGCCUGCCAAGGCUUUGACGGGUAGCCGGCCUGAGAGGGUGGGCGGUCACACUGGGACUGAGAUACGGCCCAGACUCCUGCGGGAGGCAGCAGUGGGGGGUAUUGCACAAUGGGCGGAAGCCUGAUGCAGCGACGUCGCGUGAGGGAUGGAGGCCUUCGGGUUGUGAACCUCUUUCGCCGGUGAAGAAGGUCCUGUUCUUUGUGGUGGGGCUGACGUAGCCGGGUAUAAGCGCCGC
This 486-nucleotide ribosomal RNA is filed under the name Actinomyces israelii. RNAcentral's name for it is "bacterial SSU rRNA". It matches the Rfam family "Bacterial small subunit ribosomal RNA", at positions 28 to 496 of the family's 1533-position model. Lineage: Bacteria; Bacillati; Actinomycetota; Actinomycetes; Actinomycetales; Actinomycetaceae. The record is from RNAcentral.